UACGGAGGGCGCAAGCGUUGUUCGGAAUCACUGGGCGUAAAGCGCGUUUAGGCGGCCGGGCAAGUCGGAUGUGAAAUCCCGAGGCUCAACCUCGGAACUGCAUUCGAAACUGCCCGGCUCGAGUCCCGGAGAGGAUGGCGGAAUUCCCGGUGUAGGGGUGAAAUCCGUAGAUAUCGGGAGGAACACCAGUGGCGAAGGCGGCCAUCUGGACGGUGACUGACGUUGAGACGCGAAAGCGUGGGGAGCAAACAGG
This 253-nucleotide ribosomal RNA is filed under the name uncultured bacterium. Its description in RNAcentral is "partial 16S ribosomal RNA". It matches the Rfam family "Bacterial small subunit ribosomal RNA", at positions 524 to 776 of the family's 1533-position model. The record is from RNAcentral.